Long non-coding RNA from Olea europaea var. sylvestris, 896 nucleotides. RefSeq lists it as uncharacterized. Lineage: Eukaryota; Viridiplantae; Streptophyta; Magnoliopsida; Lamiales; Oleaceae. The record is from RefSeq and is a predicted model, not a curated record. The transcript has 2 exons.
AUUUUUUAUCUGAAAAUUAGGGUUAUUAUUUUUUGAAAAAUGGAACAAAUUUAUUUUGCGAAGAUUUGAUGAUUGAUUGAAGUUAUUUUCAGUGGGUUUUUUGGGUCUGAAUUUUUUAUCUGAAAAUUAGGGUUAUUAUUUUUUGAAAAAUGGAACAAAUUUAUUUUGCGAAGAUUUGAUGAUUGAUUGAAGUUAUUUUCAGUGGGUUUUUUGGGUCUGAAUUUUUUAACCGAGAAUUAGGGUUAUUAUUUGUUGAAUUUUUUUUAACAUUUUUAGAUGGUUUAGGUUUUCUGCUAGUGAUGUGAGACGUGGUGCAAAUUCAUGAUUCUUUAGCUUCUACUCUGUCGAUUACACCAGCAAUCUUUGGUUUAAAUUUUUUACAAUCAGUCUUUUUUUCCCGAUUGCAGAUAAUUUGGUGUCAGUCGCGGUUGACUAGCCGCCGCUGGUGGGGCUGAAGCGGAGCAAAAGUAGCAUGAGUGGACACCGACAACAGAAAUCUGAUCGAUAACUUCGAUUUCCUUGUUAUUGUGCCACGGGUACUCGAGGUUUUCUAUGUUGAAAUACGAUGAUGAUACAAGUCAUGAGAGAAUUUCCCUUCACCCGAAGAUUCCCAGCAGGAAGUCCUCUCAGAAAAAAAGAAAAGAAAAAGGAGCUGAAAUAUUGUACAGUGAGGGCAUGUUCGUUUGUUAGGCAAUGCAGACCAAAUAUUAUUAAUGUUGUAGCAAUAUACAUUUCCUAUGGCUGGGAACUACAUUUGCAAUCUGUAGAGAUAUUUCUUUCCGCAUGCAAAGUAAAAGAUACUUUCAUCUGGACUAAGUGCUAAAACUUUCAACGGUUGUGCUACAUGUAUAUCAAAAUUAACAGAUUUGUUCAUCAAUAGAUGAUUUUAAAUCUCA